AAAGCAACGUGUUCUGUCGCUUUCGGUCGAAGGGCUGAAAGAGGAAAGUCGGGGCAACAAAGGGCACCAUACUUCCUAACGGGAAGGUUCUGCAGCCGGCGGAAACAGCAAGUGCCACAGAAAAUUACCGUCCCGUCAUGAUUUAUCAUGACAGGAUAAGGGUGAAAAUGUGGGGUAANNAGCCUGCGCGGGUAAACCUUAUGGGUUGAAAGGCCAAAUAUACCGGAUCGUUGUGCUGCAAAGUGCAACAAAGGGCUGCCCGCUCUUUUCCGGGGGGUAGGCCGUUAGAACCUGAUGGCGACAUCAGGUGCAGAUAAAUGACAGAAGUCCCGCUGCUGCGGGAGACAGAACCCCGCUUACAACGUUGUACGGCAC
Molecule: RNase P RNA, 375 nt
Filed under: Bacteroidales bacterium
Lineage: Bacteria; Pseudomonadati; Bacteroidota; Bacteroidia; Bacteroidales
Description: RNase P RNA component class A
Rfam family: Bacterial RNase P class A
About the family: Ribonuclease P (RNase P) is a ubiquitous endoribonuclease, found in archaea, bacteria and eukarya as well as chloroplasts and mitochondria. Its best characterised activity is the generation of mature 5'-ends of tRNAs by cleaving the 5'-leader elements of precursor-tRNAs. Cellular RNase Ps are ribonucleoproteins.
Source: RNAcentral